This 373-nucleotide transfer-messenger RNA is filed under the name Saccharofermentanaceae. Its description in RNAcentral is "Saccharofermentans sp017940895 Standard tmRNA". It matches the Rfam family "transfer-messenger RNA". Rfam says of the family: Bacterial tmRNA, also known as 10Sa RNA or SsrA, is named for its dual tRNA and mRNA-like properties. Its role is to liberate the mRNA from a stalled ribosome. Lineage: Bacteria; Bacillati; Bacillota; Clostridia; Saccharofermentanales. The record is from RNAcentral. RNAcentral also lists the same sequence under 1 other name.
GGGGGUGUACCGGUUUCGACGGGGUCGUUGAUACUGAGAAAGCGGGUGGAGGAUUCUCGUUGGCCUCCUUAAAAAACGGGAAACGCAAGUAAUUGCAAACGACACACAGCUCGUAGCUGCUUAAUUUAGCUACCGUCUUCUUCGGCCUUCUGCCACCUUAGAAAGACGUUGCCGGCAGACCUUACCCGGGAGAGGAUAAACGGGACCACCUCAUAGGCAAAGCUUUGAGCCUUUGUUGUAUCCAUGAAGCUACCGGCGGGCACGCCUGACAGCGGGCUCUGUCCAAAGGGAAAUCCUUAAACACUGUCUGCACCCGGAGACGUCUCAGAGGAUACGGUUUCGGACAGGAGUUCAACUCUCCUCACCUCCACCA